GAGUUUGAUCAUGGCUCAGAUUGAACGCUGGCGGCAGGCUUAACACAUGCAAGUCGAGCGGGGAGGUUGCUUCGGUAACUGACCUAGCGGCGGACGGGUGAGUAAUACUUAGGAAUCUGCCUAUUAAUGGGGGACAACAUCUCGAAAGGGAUGCUAAUACCGCAUACGCCCUACGGGGAAAGCAGGGGAUCACUUGUGACCUUGCGUUAAUAGAUGAGCCUAAGUCGGAUUAGCUAGUUGGUGGGUAAAGCCUACCAAGGCGACGAUCUGUAGCGGGUCUGAGAGGAUGAUCCGCCACACUGGGACUGAGACACGGCCCAGACUCCUACGGGAGGCAGCAGUGGGGAAUAUUAGACAAUGGGGGGAACCCUGAUCCAGCCAUGCCGCGUGUGUGAAGAAGGCCUUAUGGUUGUAAAAGCACUUUAAGCGAGGAGGAGGCCU
Molecule: ribosomal RNA, 441 nt
Filed under: uncultured microorganism
Description: bacterial SSU rRNA
Rfam family: Bacterial small subunit ribosomal RNA
Source: RNAcentral